GUGGGGAAUAUUGGACAAUGGGGGGAACCCUGAUCCAGUCAUGCCGCGUGUGUGAAGAAGGCCUUUUGGUUGUAAAGCACUUUAAGCGAGGAGGAGGCUACCGAGAUUAAUACUCUUGGAUAGUGGACGUUACUCGCAGAAUAAGCACCGGCUAACUCUGUGCCAGCAGCCGCGGUAAUACAGAGGGUGCAAGCGUUAAUCGGAUUUACUGGGCGUAAAGCGCGCGUAGGUGGCUAAUUAAGUCAAAUGUGAAAUCCCCGAGCUUAACUUGGGAAUUGCAUUCGAUACUGGUUGGCUAGAGUAUGGGAGAGGAUGGUAGAAUUCCAGGUGUAGCGGUGAAAUGCGUAGAGAUCUGGAGGAAUACCGAUGGCGAAGGCAGCCAUCUGGCCUAAUACUGACACUGAGGUGCGAAAGCAUGGGGAGCAAACAGGAUUAGAAACCCUGGUAGUCC
RNAcentral lists this ribosomal RNA (451 nucleotides) under uncultured bacterium. Its description in RNAcentral is "partial 16S ribosomal RNA". It matches the Rfam family "Bacterial small subunit ribosomal RNA", at positions 354 to 796 of the family's 1533-position model. The record is from RNAcentral.